This 3145-nucleotide ribosomal RNA is filed under the name Streptomyces sp. W1SF4. RNAcentral describes it as "23S ribosomal RNA". It matches the Rfam family "Bacterial large subunit ribosomal RNA". Lineage: Bacteria; Bacillati; Actinomycetota; Actinomycetes; Kitasatosporales; Streptomycetaceae. The record is from RNAcentral.
ACAGUGGACGCGAGCAUCUGUGGCCAAGUUUUUAAGGGCGCACGGUGGAUGCCUUGGCACCAGGAACCGAUGAAGGACGUGAGAGGCCGCGAUAGGCCCCGGGGAGCUGCCAACUGAGCUUUGAUCCGGGGGUGUCCGAAUGGGGAAACCCGGCAGUCGUCAUGGGCUGUCACCCACUGCUGAACACAUAGGCAGUGUGGAGGGAACGAGGGGAAGUGAAACAUCUCAGUACCCUCAGGAAGAGAAAACAACCGUGAUUCCGGGAGUAGUGGCGAGCGAAACCGGAUGAGGCCAAACCGUAUGCGUGUGAGACCCGGCAGGGGUUGCGCAUGCGGGGUUGUGGGAAUGAGCUUUCACAGUCUGCCGGCUGUGAGGCGAGUCAGAAACCGUAUGGAUAGGCGAAGGACAUGCGAAAGGUCCGGCGUAGAGGGUAAGACCCCCGUAGCUGAAAUCUGUACGGCUUGCUUGCUCAUCUCCCAAGUAGCACGGGGCCCGAGAAAUCCCGUGUGAAUCUGGCGGGACCACCCGCUAAGCCUAAAUAUUCCCUGGUGACCGAUAGCGGAUAGUACCGUGAGGGAAUGGUGAAAAGUACCGCGGGAGCGGAGUGAAAUAGUACCUGAAACCGUGUGCCUACAAGCCGUGGGAGCGUCGGAUGCAGCUUGCUGUAUCUCGUGACUGCGUGCCUUUUGAAGAAUGAGCCUGCGAGUUAGCGGUGUGUAGCGAGGUUAACCCGUGUGGGGAAGCCGUAGCGAAAGCGAGUCCGAAUAGGGCGAUUGAGUUGCACGCUCUAGACCCGAAGCGGAGUGAUCUAGCCAUGGGCAGGUUGAAGCGGAGGUAAGACUUCGUGGAGGACCGAACCCACCAGGGUUGAAAACCUGGGGGAUGACCUGUGGUUAGGGGUGAAAGGCCAAUCAAACUCCGUGAUAGCUGGUUCUCCCCGAAAUGCAUUUAGGUGCAGCGUCGUGUGUUUCUUGCCGGAGGUAGAGCACUGGAUAGGCGAUGGGCCCUACCGGGUUACUGACCUUAGCCAAACUCCGAAUGCCGGUAAGUGAGAGCACGGCAGUGAGACUGUGGGGGAUAAGCUCCAUGGUCGAGAGGGAAACAGCCCAGAGCAUCGACUAAGGCCCCUAAGCGUACGCUAAGUGGGAAAGGAUGUGGAGUCGCAGAGACAACCAGGAGGUUGGCUUAGAAGCAGCCACCCUUGAAAGAGUGCGUAAUAGCUCACUGGUCAAGUGAUUCCGCGCCGACAAUGUAGCGGGGCUCAAGCGUACCGCCGAAGUCGUGUCAUUGCAGCAAUAGGGCCAACGCCCGCUGUGAUGGGUAGGGGAGCGUCGUGUGCCGGGUGAAGCAGCAGCGGAAGCUAGUUGUGGACGGUUCACGAGUGAGAAUGCAGGCAUGAGUAGCGAUACACACGUGAGAAACGUGUGCGCCGAUUGACUAAGGGUUCCUGGGUCAAGCUGAUCUGCCCAGGGUAAGUCGGGACCUAAGGCGAGGCCGACAGGCGUAGUCGAUGGACAACCGGUUGAUAUUCCGGUACCCGCUUUGAAACGCCCAAUAUCGAAUCCUCUGAUGCUAAGCCCGUGAAGCCGUUCCGGACCCUUCGGGGAAUGGAAAGUGGUGGAGCCGGCGAUCCAAGGUGGUAGUAGGUAAGCGAUGGGGUGACGCAGGAAGGUAGUCCAGCCCGGGCGGUGGUUGUCCCGGGGUAAGGGUGUAGGCCGUGUGGUAGGCAAAUCCGUCACACGUUAAGGCUGAGACCUGAUGCCGAGCCGAUUGUGGUGAAGUGGAUGAUCCUAUGCUGUCGAGAAAAGCCUCUAGCGAGUUUCAUGGCGGCCCGUACCCUAAACCGACUCAGGUGGUCAGGUAGAGAAUACCGAGGCGUUCGGGUGAACUAUGGUUAAGGAACUCGGCAAAAUGCCCCCGUAACUUCGGGAGAAGGGGGGCCAUUCCUGGUGAUGAGACUUGCUCUCUGAGCUGGGGGUGGCCGCAGAGACCAGCGAGAAGCGACUGUUUACUAAAAACACAGGUCCGUGCGAAGCCGUAAGGCGAUGUAUACGGACUGACGCCUGCCCGGUGCUGGAACGUUAAGGGGACCGGUUAGUGACCUUUCGGGGUUGCGAAGCUGAGAACUUAAGCGCCAGUAAACGGCGGUGGUAACUAUAACCAUCCUAAGGUAGCGAAAUUCCUUGUCGGGUAAGUUCCGACCUGCACGAAUGGCGUAACGACUUCUCGACUGUCUCAACCAUAGGCCCGGUGAAAUUGCACUACGAGUAAAGAUGCUCGUUUCGCGCAGCAGGACGGAAAGACCCCGGGACCUUUACUACAGUUUGAUAUUGGUGUUCGGUUCGGCUUGUGUAGGAUAGGUGGGAGACUUUGAAGCAGCCACGCCAGUGGUUGUGGAGUCGCCGUUGAAAUACCACUCUGGUCGUGCUGGAUGUCUAACCUCGGUCCGUGAUCCGGAUCAGGGACAGUGUCUGAUGGGUAGUUUAACUGGGGCGGUUGCCUCCCAAAGGGUAACGGAGGCGCCCAAAGGUUCCCUCAGCCUGGUUGGCAAUCAGGUGUUGAGUGUAAGUGCACAAGGGAGCUUGACUGUGAGACCGACGGGUCGAGCAGGGACGAAAGUCGGGACUAGUGAUCCGGCGGUGGCUUGUGGAAGCGCCGUCGCUCAACGGAUAAAAGGUACCCCGGGGAUAACAGGCUGAUCUUCCCCAAGAGUCCAUAUCGACGGGAUGGUUUGGCACCUCGAUGUCGGCUCGUCGCAUCCUGGGGCUGGAGUCGGUCCCAAGGGUUGGGCUGUUCGCCCAUUAAAGCGGUACGCGAGCUGGGUUUAGAACGUCGUGAGACAGUUCGGUCCCUAUCCGCUGUGCGCGUAGGAAUAUUGAGAAGGGCUGUCCCUAGUACGAGAGGACCGGGACGGACGAACCUCUGGUGUGCCAGUUGUCCUGCCAAGGGCAUGGCUGGUUGGCUACGUUCGGGAGGGAUAACCGCUGAAAGCAUCUAAGCGGGAAGCCUGCUUCAAGAUGAGUAUUCCCACCUCCUUGAGAGGGUAAGGCUCCCAGUAGACGACUGGGUUGAUAGGCCAGAUGUGGAAGCCCGGUAACGGGUGGAGCUGACUGGUACUAAUAGGCCGAGGGCUUGUCCUCAGUUG